UCCGGGGUAGCUCAAUGGUAGAGCGGGUGACUGUUAAUCACUAGGUUGGAGGUUCGAAUCCUCUCCCCGGAGCCA
Molecule: transfer RNA, 75 nt
Filed under: Candidatus Saccharimonadota bacterium
Lineage: Bacteria; Candidatus Saccharimonadota
Description: tRNA-Asn
Rfam family: tRNA
About the family: Transfer RNA (tRNA) molecules are approximately 80 nucleotides in length. Their secondary structure includes four short double-helical elements and three loops (D, anti-codon, and T loops).
Source: RNAcentral